Molecule: ribosomal RNA, 1396 nt
Filed under: uncultured bacterium
Lineage: Bacteria
Description: 16S ribosomal RNA
Rfam family: Bacterial small subunit ribosomal RNA
Source: RNAcentral
AGAGUUUGAUCCUGGCUCAGGAUGAACGCUAGCUACAGGCUUAACACAUGCAAGUCGAGGGGCAGCAUGAACAAAGCUUGCUUUGUUUGAUGGCGACCGGCGCACGGGUGAGUAACGCGUAUCCGACCUGCCCAUGACUCGGGCACAGCCGCUCGAAAGAGCGAUUGAUUCCCGAUAUGUCCAUGAAGUAGAUUCAUGGAUGAAAGAUUCAUCGGUCAUGGAUGGGGAUGCGUAGGAUUAGGUAGUAGGCGGGGUAACGGCCCACCUAGCCGACGAUCAUUAGGGGUUCUGAGAGGAAGGUCCCCCACACUGGUACUGAGACACGGACCAGACUCCUACGGGAGGCAGCAGUGAGGAAUAUUGGUCAAUGGGCGAGAGCCUGAACCAGCCAAGUCGCGUGAAGGAUGACUGAUCUAUGGUUUGUAAACUUCUUUUAUAAGGGAAUAAAGUGCAGCACGUGUGCUGUUUUGUAUGUACCUUAUGAAUAAGCAUCGGCUAACUCCGUGCCAGCAGCCGCGGUAAUACGGAGGAUGCGAGCGUUAUCCGGAUUUAUUGGGUUUAAAGGGUGCGUAGGCGGGUUGAUAAGUCAGUGGUGAAAGUUUGCGGCUCAACCGUAAAAUUGCCGUUGAAACUGUCGAUCUUGAGUGCAAACGAGGCAGGCGGAAUGCGCCGUGUAGCGGUGAAAUGCUUAGAUAUGGCGCAGAACCCCGAUUGCGAAGGCAGCUUGCCAGCAUGCAACUGACGCUGAGGCACGAAAGCGUGGGUAUCAAACAGGAUUAGAUACCCUGGUAGUCCACGCAGUAAACGAUGAAUGCUAGCUGUUUGCGAUAUAGUGUAAGCGGCACAGCGAAAGCGUUAAGCAUUCCACCUGGGGAGUACGACCGCAAGGUUGAAACUCAAAGGAAUUGACGGGGGCCCGCACAAGCGGAGGAACAUGUGGUUUAAUUCGAUGAUACGCGAGGAACCUUACCCGGGCUUGAACUGCGGUGGACCGGUCCAGAGAUGGGCUUUCCCUUCGGGGCCGCCGUGGAGGUGCUGCAUGGUUGUCGUCAGCUCGUGCCGUGAGGUGUCGGCUUAAGUGCCAUAACGAGCGCAACCCUUUCCGUCAGUUGCCAUCAGGUAAUGCUGGGGACUCUGUCGGUACUGCCAUCGUAAGAUGUGAGGAAGGUGGGGAUGACGUCAAAUCAGCACGGCCCUUACGUCCGGGGCUACACACGUGUUACAAUGGGGGGGUACAGAAGGCCGCUACCCGGCGACAGGAUGCCAAUCUCAAAAAGCCUCUCUCAGUUCGGAUCGGAGUCUGCAACUCGACUCCGUGAAGCUGGAUUCGCUAGUAAUCGCGCAUCAGCCAUGGCGCGGUGAAUACGUUCCCGGGCCUUGCACACACCGCCCGUCA